CAGACUAGACGUUGGAGCUCUCGACCACUCAACGGUGUUACCAUCAGAAAGGUGUAAUAAAUUAGUUUUAAGGAUUAUUAUAAAGUAGUUGCAACGGUAAACGAACUGAAAAUGGGGAGAAAGAGGACAAGGGAAAUCAUAAUUCUCAGAGGACUCCCCGGAUCAGGGAAGACAGCUCUGGCAAGUAAUAUCUUGGAGAUGUAUGGUUCUGGAGAAGCCUUCAGCACAGACGACUACUUCAGGGUGGACGGGGAGAUGGUUGGGUUCCGUGAUACAUCCCUGAACAAAGCUCAUGUAUGGAACCACAACAGAGUUCUUCUAGCCAUCAAAAAUAAAGUCCAUCCGAUCGUAAUUGACAACACCAAUCUGCAGAAAUGGGAGAUGUGGCCUUAUGUCCGAAUGGUGAGGACUACUUUUGCCUGUGUGUGUGUGUGUGUGUGUGUGUGUGUGUG
RNA transcript from Oncorhynchus tshawytscha (Chinook salmon), 452 nucleotides. RefSeq lists it as uncharacterized. The record is from RefSeq and is a predicted model, not a curated record. Lineage: Eukaryota; Metazoa; Chordata; Actinopteri; Salmoniformes; Salmonidae. The transcript is spliced from 3 exons.